AGGGCCCCAGGGGUCUAGCGCCCUGUGCUCCAUCCCAUAGCCUGGGACCCUCCCCCCAAGAUGGCCCAGCAGGUGGUGGGAGAGCACCCAUCCCUCCCCCCAGCACACAGAGAGGGCAGGCGGGGGCCCUCUGGCCCAGGAGCUUCUCCCCCACCGCUCACUCUCUGUCUUUGCACCGUGAAGACGGCCAAGGGGUGGCGCUCAGUCUCCAGAGCCGCCGUCACUCAGCCCGGCGAUGCUCUUCAGCCUGGGCCCUGGUGGCGUGGCUGCCAUCGGCUGCCGCCUUACACCCAGCACCCUGACAUUUGGAACCCUCUGCAGUUUCUUGAAAAGACCUCCUUCUUGCCUCUGGGCUUUGCACGUGCCGUUCCCACUUUCCUGCUGCCCAGCCCCCCGAGGGCAUGGGUCAGGGUACCCUGAUGCCCCCGCCGGGGCCAAGGGGGAGCAGGGCUGUGGAGAGCAUGACCCCCUUGUUAAAUCACGUCUGCCUUUAUGCCUUGAUACACCACACAGAGAGAUGACGGGAGAUACCACCAAGAUGAGAUGCCAACCUGGGAGAGGCUCUGCAGGUCCCCUGGUGCCCACGUCUACCUGGCUUGUCCCCACAGGUGGGUUUUCUGAGACAAGGGGGCUUUUGGACACAGGUCUGUCCCCAGAGCCAGCCAGCAGCUCCAGAGAAGAGACAGCAGGUGCCCAGGACGAUGCGGCUUAGUUGCCAGGCUCAAGAGAGGCUCCCUCAAUGAGGCAAGCAGAGUCCCUGCCCAGAGCCCCCAACUCCACACCUCCCCAGGAUGCAGGCCCAGGAGAGGCCCCCUCGAUGAGGUUGCCACGAAACAUCCAAUAUUUGAAAGUGUUCUAUGGACCUCAAAUGGCAUGAGACACCUUAAAAUGUUUGCUGGAUGGCAGUAGGAGGAGGCUCUGCUGCUCAUGUUCAUGGAGUCCCACGGCCACCAGGCCCUUUGAAUCUCGAGUUUCUGGCUUCAGAUGCCCCCAGGUUUCCAGAAGUCAAGAUUUCUAACAAAUGGACCCAAACCCCAAGCCAGCACCUGGAAGUGGCAGCAACACGGCUGUGUGGACCCGGGUGCUGGGAACCUUCUGGAGGCAGCUGGACACAGGGGCUGCCGGUGCGGAGAGGGACGCUGCUCAUUUUGACAUUUCAUCUGAAUAACGUUCCAAGUGUUCUAAUGAAAGCCUCUGCGCUCCCUUUGAAAUACUAGCAAUUACAAAGAUGAAUAA
This is a long non-coding RNA of Pan troglodytes (chimpanzee), 1236 nucleotides long. RefSeq lists it as uncharacterized. The transcript has 6 exons. Lineage: Eukaryota; Metazoa; Chordata; Mammalia; Primates; Hominidae. The record is from RefSeq and is a predicted model, not a curated record.